ACACACAUACAUAUCGUUGACGUUCAUCCGGCUAAGCGUUCAAUGUGGGUUCAUUGUGCCUCUGUAGGUGUUUGUGUCUCCUCUCAGGAGGAUCUAGUCGCUGCGAUUCUAUCGAGUUACUCGGUGCGACACCAUGAAGUCAGGAAGAAGUCAGCACCAGUGCAUCGGAGCCCGAGCCGGUGACCCUGGCAACGUGACGAUGACAUCAUCGGAGCAGGUAAACGGAGGGUCCCUUUGAUAAAGAAUAAGUGACAGUGACUAACACGCAAAGAUAUGCUGCGUAUUAUGAGGUAAAUAUUAAAUCGCAUAUUCAGGGAAUCGUGAGACUGAUUUCAUCAGCAUCCUUUCAGAAGAAUCUCAGUGAAGAUGAAAAGAUUCUGGAAGCUGCUAUUACUGUUAUUAUGAUUACUAUUAUUAUUAUGAGGUCAAUGAUGAUAAAUGUAGGUCCGGUUGACUUUGGAUGGUAUGAAAUAAUUAGACUCUUGAGUUCUCAUCAUGAGAGUGAGAAUAAAAGAAUCCAGAGACUCGACCAGGAGUACAAGUCUUUCUAUUUCUGUUUAGUUCUCUGCUGUCGCCCUCUGCUGGUUCCAAAGAGACUCUGGGGGCAAAUCAGCUGUUAAUCCCUGCAGGGAGUCCAUUCAUACAGUUUACUUAAAGUUACUGUGAGUCAGUUCACUUCAUUUCACAGGAACUAUUUUCUACAACGAGUGUCUCCGGUCGGCAGCCAUGACGUCACGAGAUGAACACGUGGUGUGAUUAAUUACGUCACGUAUGCUCCCAUUUUAUUGAAUGUCCUUCCUGUGAGCACAGAGCCAUAUUUCAUGCUACUAAUUGCACCUGUGUUCACUUACGCGGCGGCAGGUCAGCCUGGCUGCUCUGUGCACAGGGGCGACUACUCCGUCCCCGCGAUGCACGCCGGUGGGAUUUGUGUCCGACCUGCUCUGACAUCACGCAGUGCAUGAUGGGAAACACCUGCUCGACGCCUGACCUCUGCACACUGAUUCAGACGGUUCAACGUGCAGCACGAAAGGUGGACUGAAGACAUUUCUACGGCUGAAUUCUGAGGGAAUGGGGAUUAAAAACGUACUUUUACCUUCAGGGCUGGUGACUUUUAUUCCCGUGCAUCAUUUAGUUUCCUUGCGACCUUUCAAAGACAGAGACCCCAGAUCUCGUUAAUUACCUGACUGUUUGAAGAGGCUUCAUAUCUCUGCAUACAUGACGAACACGUCCCUGCUGCGUGCAUCGCCUCGGAAGGAAACAGAAGGUCACGUGAAUUUGAUCAAAGGUCACGCUGGUAAUGUAAGUUUUAUUUUUACUUUUCAGCUUUUUUGCAUCAAACACAAGACUUUUUUUUCUUCAACUUUCUGAUCACUUUUUAUGUCUUGUUUUAUUUGACCUAUUUGUUUUCUUCAUCCUUUUGUUACUGCAUUCUUUUGAGAUGUCUGUUAUUAACCGGGUGCUACUGCAGGACUUUAAUUAAGGUGACCCGAUGAUUUAGACAAAAUAAAUUAUAAUUCGAUUGCUUAAUACUUUGUAUGCUUUCUAAAAUGUUUGUCCCUGGUGUCAUAAAGGUUCCGUAGGAGGAACAUUGACCCUAAUAACAGCGAAAUGCGCUGGAAUCCACAGGCCACACGAUUUCAAAGAUUACAAAUGUUUUAUAUGAGGAAGUGGUGUAGAUAAUAAAAACUGCUUCAUAUUUGAACAAUAGAUAUUCUUAAAGCUGCAGCCUGUAAACUCCUCACUGAUGACUGUUUAUAGUGUUCUUGCUGCACACAUCUGUCUCCUCUGUGUGUAAGAAGAUUGUCAGCCAGCAGCAGCUUAGCUUAGCUUAGCAUAAAGAUGCUUACAUCAUACAAAUAUGUACACACUAUGUAAUCGUUCACUGUGUUUGCUUCGGCUUCAACUGGGGACGCAGUCGGCAUUUGGAUGGGAGGGAUUUGAAUCCACAGCCUUUAUUUUGUGUGAAAAUGAGUUCUAAUAAAAGCUUUUGAUUUCAUGAAGAGUU
This is a long non-coding RNA of Gasterosteus aculeatus aculeatus (three-spined stickleback), 2005 nucleotides long. RefSeq lists it as uncharacterized. Lineage: Eukaryota; Metazoa; Chordata; Actinopteri; Perciformes; Gasterosteidae. The record is from RefSeq and is a predicted model, not a curated record.